This 192-nucleotide microRNA precursor is filed under the name Vigna angularis (adzuki bean). Its description in RNAcentral is "pre miRNA MIR159". Lineage: Eukaryota; Viridiplantae; Streptophyta; Magnoliopsida; Fabales; Fabaceae. The record is from RNAcentral.
UGGGUCAAAAUGGAGCUUCCUUUGCCAUAAAAAUUGAAAGGAGGUGAUUGUAGACCAUGAUUGAAAGCUCAUAUAUACCCCAUGUGAGUGACCACAAAUAUCAUUAUGCACUCACUAGGGUGUGCAUGAGCUUUGAAACAUGGCUAUUUUGAUCUUUUCUAUUUUGUGGUGAAGGAAGCUCCAAUCAAAUUU